RNAcentral lists this ribosomal RNA (515 nucleotides) under uncultured bacterium. RNAcentral's name for it is "partial 16S ribosomal RNA". It matches the Rfam family "Bacterial small subunit ribosomal RNA", at positions 28 to 523 of the family's 1533-position model. The record is from RNAcentral.
GAUGAACGCUGGCGGCGUACCUAAUACAUGCAAGUCGAGCGGACUUUCAAGAAGCUUGCUUUUUGAAAGUUAGCGGCGGACGGGUGAGUAACACGUGGGCAACCUGCCUGUAAGACGGGGAUAACUCCGGGAAACCGGGGCUAAUACCGGAUAAUAUCUUUCUUCGCAUGAAGGAAGGUUGAAAGGCGGCGCAAGCUGCCACUUGCAGAUGGGCCCGCGGCGCAUUAGCUAGUUGGUGAGGUAACGGCUCACCAAGGCGACGAGGCGUGGCCGACCUGAGAGGGUGAUCGGCCACACUGGGACUGAGACACGGCCCAGACUCCUACGGGAGGCAGCAGUAGGGAAUCUUCCGCAAUGGACGAAAGUCUGACGGAGCAACGCCGCGUGAGCGAAGAAGGUCUUCGGAUCGUAAAGCUCUGUUGUCAGGGAAGAACAAGUACCGUUCGAAUAGGGCGGUACCUUGACGGUACCUGACCAGAAAGCCACGGCUAACUACGUGCCAGCAGCCGCCGCCG